RNAcentral lists this ribosomal RNA (484 nucleotides) under uncultured bacterium. RNAcentral describes it as "partial 16S ribosomal RNA". It matches the Rfam family "Bacterial small subunit ribosomal RNA", at positions 30 to 507 of the family's 1533-position model. The record is from RNAcentral.
AUUGAACGCUGGCGGCAUGCCUAACACAUGCAAGUCGAGCGGAAGCACGGGAGCAAUCCUUGUGUCGAGUGGCGGACGGGUGAGUAAUUCAUCGGAACGUGCCCAAUCGUGGGGGAUAACGCAGCGAAAGGUGUGCUAAUACCGCAUACGAUCUAAGGAUGAAAGCAGGGGAUCGCAAGGCCUUGCGCGACUGGAUCGGCCCAUGGCAGAUUAGCUAGUUGGUGGGGUAAAGGCUUACCAAGCCAACGAUCCGUAGCUGGUCUGAGAGGAUGACCAGCCACACUGGGACUGAGACACGGUCCAGACUCCUACGGGAGGCAGCAGUGGGGAAUUUUGGACAAUGGGCGAAAGCCUGAUCCAGCCAUGCCGCGUGCAUGAUGAAGGCCUUCGGAUUGUAAACUGCUUUUGUUCGGAACGAAACGGCGUUUUCUAAUAAAGAGGGCUAAUGACGGUACCGUAAGAAUAAGCACCGGCUAACUACGUG